RNAcentral lists this ribosomal RNA (587 nucleotides) under uncultured Bacillota bacterium. RNAcentral describes it as "bacterial SSU rRNA". It matches the Rfam family "Bacterial small subunit ribosomal RNA", at positions 289 to 892 of the family's 1533-position model. Lineage: Bacteria; Bacillati; Bacillota. The record is from RNAcentral.
GGACUGAGAGGUUGAACGGCCACGUUGGGACUGAGACACGGCCCAGACUCCUACGGGAGGCAGCAGUGGGGAAUAUUGCACAAUGGGGGAAACCCUGAUGCAGCAACGCCGCGUGAAGGAAGACGGUUUUCGGAUUGUAAACUUCUGUUCUUAGUGAAGAAUAAUGACGGUAGCUAAGGAGCAAGCCACGGCUAACUACGUGCCAGCAGCCGCGGUAAUACGUAGGUGGCAAGCGUUGUCCGGAAUUACUGGGUGUAAAGGGAGCGUAGGCGGGAUGCCAAGUCAGCUGUGAAAACUAUGGGCUUAACUUGUAGACUGCAGUUGAAACUGGUAUUCUUGAGUGAAGUAGAGGUUGGCGGAAUUCCGAGUGUAGCGGUGAAAUGCGUAGAUAUUCGGAGGAACACCGGUGGCGAAGGCGGCCAACUGGGCUUUAACUGACGCUGAGGCUCGAAAGUGUGGGGAGCAAACAGGAUUAGAUACCCUGGUAGUCCACACUGUAAACGAUGAUAACUAGGUGUGGGGGGUCUGACCCCUUCCGUGCCGCAGCUAACGCAAUAAGUUAUCCACCUGGGGAGUACGACCGCAAG